AUUAAUAUAACUUUGCGCGUGGACUAACUUUCGGUGUAUCCAAAGAUCAUCAUCAAGUCAAACAUUCAACAUCAAAAAAUAGACUCAAUCCUCGCGUGAAGGCGAAACGUCGUCUAUCGCGAUAUUUUUCCAGCAUUGAAUACAUGUCUCCGUGCGUUGAGUGUCUGUCAGAGCUACUUUCCGAAGGGCGACGAGCGUUUCGCUCAACGAUCGCGCGAUGUAAUCAUUUCUCUCGGAUUCCGAAGUGGCUUGACGCGUUUCAACGAUUCAGCAUAUUAAGACCACACUUUGAUGUAUACCGAAACUGGAAGUGGCGACAGAUACGACAGCUUGGUCUUUGCUAAGCUUGAAAUCGCACACCAAGAACGACGCCACGAUCGGCACGACGAGGGAAGUGCUCGCCUCUGCUAGCGACAGCAAACCGACGAGGACGAUGAGAAAGUGAUGAUAUAUACCCCAUCCUGCAUUUUUGAAAAAACCGCAAGGCUCGAAACGAGAAAUGGCGUAAUCACGAUAUCGCGUUAAUGUCACGUGUAUGAUACAUUCUCACACGCAACAUUACCUUGGAAAUAUCACAACCAUAAACGUCCGCAAGGUAUAAGUAAUUUCGUCGCUUAUUCAGGAUCCGUACCUGCUUCCGUUAUUGCGGUCUCGUACUCGUUACUCAUGCCACAUGAAAAAAAUAAUGCAAUGAUUUUGCCUUCAAACGCACCGAUGAAGCGGUUAUAGUUACUGGCUGGCAAAUUUCAAUGAAUUAUUUAAUCAAACAUAAACGAAAAAUGCGGAACCAAGUUUGUCCGUGAAAUUUGGUUGCAUGCGCUUGAGAGUUUUCGCGUUGAAUUAUCACCAAUUCUAACAAUUAUGAGAGAUAAUAAUAGCCAUUACGAAAACACGAUAAAGUGGAGCUUGAUGUGACACUUCUGACGAACUUCACUGCAGUUGUGACAAACAUUGGCUUCCACUGCAGCGAUCGUUUGAUAUACGGAGUAAUUAGCGACUAGUACAUCAGGUGGAAUGUCGGGAGAAAUUGGCGGCAACACAAGUACAAAAUAAACCUGUUUAUUACUAAAGACAACUAAGAGCAAAUAUUUUAGGUGUCAUACUGUUUUAGCGCGAUAUGUGUACUUAGUUAUACUAAAUAGACACGCAAGUAAAUGUAAUUGUGUUGAAUAGGAGGUUUACGCGGCGCGCAAAGAUACAAACACACAACGCGAAUAUAUCCAAUAGGACGUACAAAGAAA
Long non-coding RNA from Harpegnathos saltator (Jerdon's jumping ant), 1241 nucleotides. RefSeq lists it as uncharacterized. The transcript is spliced from 3 exons. NCBI's taxonomy places the organism in Eukaryota, Metazoa, Arthropoda, Insecta, Hymenoptera, Formicidae. The record is from RefSeq and is a predicted model, not a curated record.